RNAcentral lists this ribosomal RNA (1106 nucleotides) under Bacillus aerophilus. RNAcentral's name for it is "bacterial SSU rRNA". It matches the Rfam family "Bacterial small subunit ribosomal RNA", at positions 129 to 1219 of the family's 1533-position model. Lineage: Bacteria; Bacillati; Bacillota; Bacilli; Caryophanales; Bacillaceae. The record is from RNAcentral.
CCUGUAAGACUGGGAUAACUCCGGGAAACCGGAGCUAAUACCGGAUAGUUCCUUGAACCGCAUGGUUCAAGGAUGAAAGACGGUUUCGGCUGUCACUUACAGAUGGACCCGCGGCGCAUUAGCUAGUUGGUGAGGUAACGGCUCACCAAGGCGACGAUGCGUAGCCGACCUGAGAGGGUGAUCGGCCACACUGGGACUGAGACACGGCCCAGACUCCUACGGGAGGCAGCAGUAGGGAAUCUUCCGCAAUGGACGAAAGUCUGACGGAGCAACGCCGCGUGAGUGAUGAAGGUUUUCGGAUCGUAAAGCUCUGUUGUUAGGGAAGAACAAGUGCAAGAGUAACUGCUUGCACCUUGACGGUACCUAACCAGAAAGCCACGGCUAACUACGUGCCAGCAGCCGCGGUAAUACGUAGGUGGCAAGCGUUGUCCGGAAUUAUUGGGCGUAAAGGGCUCGCAGGCGGUUUCUUAAGUCUGAUGUGAAAGCCCCCGGCUCAACCGGGGAGGGUCAUUGGAAACUGGGAAACUUGAGUGCAAAAGAGGAGAAUGGAAUUCCACGUGUAGCGAUGAAAUGAGUAGAGAUGUGGAGGAACACCAGUCGCCGAAGGAGACUCUCCGGUCCGGAACUGACGGCUGAGGAGCCGAAAGCGUGCGGAGCGAACAGGAUUAGAUACCCUGGUAGUCCACGCCGUAAACGAUGAGUGCUAAGUGUUAGGGGGUUUCCGCCCCUUAGUGCUGCAGCUAACGCAUUAAGCACUCCGCCUGGGGAGUACGGUCGCAAGACUGAAACUCAAAGGAAUUGACGGGGGCCCGCACAAGCGGUGGAGCAUGUGGUUUAAUUCGAAGCAACGCGAAGAACCUUACCAGGUCUUGACAUCCUCUGACAACCCUAGAGAUAGGGCUUUCCCUUCGGGGACAGAGUGACAGGUGGUGCAUGGUUGUCGUCAGCUCGUGUCGUGAGAUGUUGGGUUAAGUCCCGCAACGAGCGCAACCCUUGAUCUUAGUUGCCAGCAUUCAGUUGGGCACUCUAAGGUGACUGCCGGUGACAAACCGGAGGAAGGUGGGGAUGACGUCAAAUCAUCAUGCCCCUUAUGACCUGGGCUACAC